Non-coding RNA from Chelonoidis abingdonii (Abingdon island giant tortoise), 568 nucleotides. The record is from RefSeq and is a predicted model, not a curated record. NCBI's taxonomy places the organism in Eukaryota, Metazoa, Chordata, Testudines, Testudinidae.
GUGCGGGAAAGAUGGUGAGUAAUCUAUCUGUUGCUUGGCAAAGCUUAAUGUACCUGUGUUUGCAAAAAGUAGAUUAUCAAGAGAAGACAUCCUUCAAAUCAAAAAUGUAAUUUUUAACAAACAAAUGAAGUCAUAUUGAAGUCACCUCCACAGGACCAGAUGAGCAGCAAAUGAAGAGCAUGAGAAUCAGGAACUGAAAAGUCAGCUGUUUGCACAACUCUAGUGAAGAAUCAAGCAGUUAAAGAAUGUGUUGGGGAAUUUUGAAAGCUUAAGUUAUGAGAUAUUACAUUCAAGGACAAUUUUCAUAACAAUAUUUUUAAAAUAAUCAUCUACAGUACCACCAUGAGAUUUUCCCACUGUCACUCAACACCAUUGCGCUAAACAUUACACCAGGGACAAAGAAAUAGAAAGCAAUGGGGAAAAAAGAAAAGAGAUUAAUUUACUGUGGACUUUGUUUUUAAUUGAAUGGGUUGCCUUCAUAAACCACCUCAAAUCAAGUAGCUGUCAUGUGAUGGGUUCUGUGUAUGGAUCAGAAGUGGCAUACAAAACAAGUGAGCUGUCUAUAUCU